Aedes albopictus (Asian tiger mosquito) is the source of this 2933-nucleotide long non-coding RNA. RefSeq lists it as uncharacterized. The record is from RefSeq and is a predicted model, not a curated record. Lineage: Eukaryota; Metazoa; Arthropoda; Insecta; Diptera; Culicidae. The transcript has 2 exons.
CAAAAUCGUUGAAUCAAUAAUUGUAAGAAAUUUAAAAGCCUUAUUACAAUGAAACAUGUUCAAUAAAGAAGCAUUAGGCAGCCGAUCUCUUAACAUUCAUCUAGAACGUUUAAAAUAGGAGGUGUCCAAAAUACAUUGCAUGGUUUCUACUGUUAAUAUAUUUUGGUCAUCUGACGAACUACAUGGGGAUGCUGUGCGAUUGCAUACUUGGAGGCGUAUUCUGUGGGUCUGGCGAUAUUUUCUCGAUUAUAACAAAAACUGCAAUAGUUAUCAAAAUAAAUGCCUGUUAAGCGGGGAAAAUUGAUUAUUUGUAAGAAAAUAUUUGCUAAUUUAUGUAACUUCCAUGAUUUAGCAGUAUUCAUGGCUAAACAUUGAGAUAAUUGCCCUGUCCAAAUUAUAUAUACUUGAGGGUGUCCAAAACAUAUAUUCGGUGUCCAAAAUGCAAUUCUUACAGGUCAUCGGAAAUUGUGAUUUUCUCAGCUUAAAAUGCUUUCGUUAAGGUUUUUGUCACCAGGAACGCAAAGUACAAUCAUAUUGUAAGCGUAUUGGUAACUUUGCAACAUAAUCAAUUGCUUUCUAAGGAAGCUAGGGGACGAUUUUUUCAAAGUUGUCCUCAGCCUGUUCAAAAUACAUGAAUUGCCCUAAUCCAUGAAAAAAAUAAUUUGCGAACGGUUACUUGACUUUUUCCAGUGAAAUUGAAAUGUAAUUUCCUCUAAUUCUUUCAUUAAUAAUGAUCAUUCUAGUUGCCGGCAUCCUAAAGUUCAAUGUGUUUUCUUCCAAUUAUUGAAAACAUUUAAUCAAAUAACAUUGUAGAAGCUAUGCUAUGAUUUUUUUUAAAUUAUUGAUCAUAUGUGUUUUUCAGUUUUUCGGGGUAAAUCACGCCGCCCGUUACGGGAAAAAUGCACCACGAAAUGUAACACGCCAAGAAAUAACGUGGUUUGAGUGUUGCAUGCAUCACGGCGUUUACUCGACAUUAGUGCUGCAGCUAAUGCUAAUAACGCAAUUAAUGCACAUUUGAAAGGUUCUGAUUUUCGUCUCUGUGUUACUGUAGUCAUAAUUCAAACGCUAACGGCUGUUUUGGAGUUACGGCGAAGGCCGGCGCAUUUUGCCCCUAAAGUACUCGCGAUUUUGGACUACAAAAUACGCAUUUUUACACUUAAAACGGCCCUUCUUGCUCAAAUCAUAAAUUUUGCGAGUAAGCAAAGAGAAAACUUUUCGCAUUCUUACACACUGCACAUCACUCACGUAGUGAUGAAAAAAUUACAUUCAAUGCAGCAAAUUAGCCGCCGCCGUUUAGCUAUUUCACCGAGUUUGAUGGUACACUCUUAAAUCGCAUUCUAGCAAUCGCUAGAAUGAAACCGACAGACAACUCAUAUAGGAUGUGUGUUCCAUCAUUAGUAAUCUUACGCUCCCAUAUUCAUCCUAUUCGAAAAUAAGCAAGUAGGGUAGUGGAGGUAUUUUGGCCCGGGGCAUGUAUUUUAGCCAACCCUGGGUUUUUUAUUACAUUUAUCAUAUAAUCUCUACCAAAUCUUGGCAAAUUAUUAUUGGAACUUCCAAUAAUCAUUUGCCAAGAUUUGGUAGAGAUAAUUAUGAUAAAUGUAAUAAAAACCCAGGGUAGGCCAAAAUACAUGCCCCGGGCCAAAUUACCUCCACUACCCUAUCUUCUGGAACAGGUUCGUUGACAUUUUCCGGUGCUAAACAGGGUGUACAUGAUGAGUGUGAUAAUUGUUGGAAAACGACGAUAUAAACAGGUAAAAUUACGUUCGGAAAUGCCAAAAAUUACGUCAGAGGAUAUCACAAAUUUAUCUGCUGUAAAAUAUACACAGGAAGAAAAAUAUGUCAAGAUUUAAAAAAUGAUUACUUGAAUAUCUAUAUGAUGCCUCAAUAUUAAAUACGACGAUUGUUUUCUAGAAUUUAUUCUCUGAAACCAAGUAAAAUCGUUCUCCUUGGAUAGUUGGGGAAGAUAUUCGGAAUUAUAAAAAAUCCACAAUUGAGAUUUCGAUCAUGCACAUAUAAAAUAUAUCCAUAUUGAGUGGACUUAAUUUAUCACUUGUGUUUUGUUGAAAGGAUACUUUAUGGCACGAGAAAGGCACCAUCACCGCUAGGUGGAUUAAUUAGGGUUUUUGCCUUUCUCUUACACUAAGUGUACUGGAAAGGCUAUAUGUUCACUCCAAAAAUGACUUUUUGAUAGAAGGCCCGGAGGGUCGAGUCACAUAUACCAAUCAACUCAGCUCGACGAAUUGAGGUGAUGUCUGUGUGUGUGUAUGUAUGUGUGUGUGUGUGUAUGUAUGUGUGUGUGUAUGUGUGUGUACUCACACUCACAUGCAGCGUGCUGAAAGCGAGAGCUGACCGGGCUAAAUUUCCAUUCAAUUUUCUGUAUUUGAGUGUUUUCACCCGUGGUAUUGUAUAGGGCACUCACUCUCAGAAGCCACCGCUUGAGACGAAUGGCCUGUCAACAUGAGUAGUGUGUGAAUGAUUGGGAAUUGACCUUGUUGGGUUGCUCAUGAAUGGAGCUCUCGGACUCUGUCAGUUCUCACAUCGAGGAACUGAAAAUGACCGCCGCAGUCAUUCAUUUUCGGCUGAAAAACAGGCACUGACACUGAUAUUUUGCAGGACUGCUCUCCAUCGUCCUUGUUUUCAACGGUUGAAUCAAAUAUUAAUCGUUUUUGCUCGUUUGACGUAUACUCACUACCAACAUCAAGCCAGCAGCGGCUUGUGAAACGAAACCUGAUUAGCAUUUGGCGAUUAUUUUUUUGUAACGAUGAAUAUAAUAGCAAUAUGUUACAAAUGAUAUGUCUUUUUUUUCUGUACUAAAGCAAUCUCAUCAAAUCACUGAGGUGUAAAAAUAUACAGUAGGAUAGGUCAACGUUAUAUGAGAAAAUGAAAAUUAUCGCAUCAAAGCUUUUUCAAUCCUCUUUUGCGUCUAAAACUAC